RNAcentral lists this unclassified non-coding RNA (421 nucleotides) under Drosophila virilis. Its description in RNAcentral is "GJ25812". Lineage: Eukaryota; Metazoa; Arthropoda; Insecta; Diptera; Drosophilidae. The record is from RNAcentral.
GUAAAAUCGAUAAGCGAUCACAUUAUAAGUAUGUGCAUGCGAGACGUGCGAGAGCGAGGCAAGAAACUCAGCAGGAAGCACCAAAGAGCCGUCGAGCACCAGAUACAGAUACGACAACGACAACGUCGAGGACGAAAACGAGGACCCACAGCAAUGGAAUAACAGUAGCUGUAACUGGUUACAGUAAUGUUUUCUCAGCUCAAACAUGCCCUCUACGACGCAGCGCAGCAUAUCGUGCAUUAAAAAUCGUAGCCAUAUGUAAAGCCAAAGAUAACAAACGGAGCAGGAGGGUCGCUUGGGGAGCAGAAGUUGCCAACUGUCGCGAUUUCCACUGUUGCCAGCCUUUAACUCGUUUCCGAAACAGAACACAGCAGCCGUCCAAUGCGGCGUAUGAGUAAUGGCUGCCGCAGCAAAGAGCCAA